AUGCCACGUGUACAUGCAGGGCAUGGCGAUGGCACUGUUCUGCCUUUUCGUUCCGUUUUCCAUUGCCCCCACCACUCGUCGUUUCCUUCGACAAGAAGGAAGAGAGGUCCCAGAUGCGUCCGCCCUAUUCCAACCUACUUCUUCUUUCUCUCUCUCGAAGACCCACUCCACUCGCGGCAGUGCGCCACCCGCCUCCGCACCAUUUCGCUGUUGUCUUCCCCGUCCCCCCGCGUGAUGCCGCAGCAGCCGAUGGAGGCAUUCAGAUUCGACGCGCUCAAGGAGACCUUCUCAGUGGACGUGGCAGCAGCCGAGUCGCGCCCACUCAACGUGCCGCUCGCCACACCCUUCACCAUCGCCUCCUCAUGCCUCGAGGUCAUCGCCAAUGUCGCCAUGUGGGUCGAUCUCUCCAGCGGCCCCGUCGGCUGGGGCGAGGCCCUGGUCCUCCCCUCCGCCGGAGCAGGAGUGGGGAUGGCAAUGAUUGCCGUGGUAGCUAACAACAUCUGCAUACCCUUGUGGAGAUUAUUUGGGGGAGCAUCAAACACUGUGACAACAGACAUCAUGGGUCAUUUAAAAAAAAUAGACAUCACGAUUCCAAUUGUGACCCCAAAUGAAGCCGCUCAAUUGGCUGCUAAAUAUCGAGGACAAGGGUUUCAGACUCUGAAGCUCAAAGUAGGGAAAAACUUGAACUCAUACAUAGAAGUUCUGAAGGCUAUAUGGCUUGUGCAUCCUGACAACUCAUUUAUCUUGGAUGCAAAUGAAGGGUACACAGCAAACCAUGCAAUUGAAGUUCUUGACAGACUAAACACUCCUACUCCAUCCUGCAGGUGUCAUAAUUUGUAUGAUGUUUCCAUUAUUAAGUUUUGCGAUCUAAUGCCUUGCUCUACUGUUUUUAUUUUUGAUCUCAACGUUUCAAAUUUUAUCGGACUAUGGUUACUUGAAUGCCCAAUACUUCUCCCGGGGUUUCCGGUAACCUCUCAGUACUCCAAAAAAUCACACAAAGUGUUCCUCCAGUAUUCAGGAGUUGCAUAA
This 1029-nucleotide ribosomal RNA is filed under the name Triticum aestivum (bread wheat). Its description in RNAcentral is "partial small subunit ribosomal RNA". The record is from RNAcentral. Lineage: Eukaryota; Viridiplantae; Streptophyta; Magnoliopsida; Poales; Poaceae.